GGGUUAUACAGCCUUACGCUAAAAGAAGCUCAGUCUAUGACAUAAAGAGCAAAAACUAAUAAAAACCAGGUCUAAAUGCAAGAGUACCCUACUCUAAUUGGGCAAACCAAAAGAAACCAGUGCAGAUCUGGAUCUUUUUGUUGCAAUGCUGCAGCGGAGGAAAUGAAAACCAAAAGAAGCUCAGGGGCAAAGCUCUUCAACCCAAAGGACAAGAAACGGCACUGAGGCCUGAAGGAGUCCCAGGAAAGCCAUAAUCCAAUUAUAUUGCCCACAAAACAACAGAUCAAGACAAGGAAACUCCUGAGUAGCAGACCAUAUAACACAGAAAACACAUCGCAGGCUAAGCAUGUAGCUCACAGAGGAUGAUGAAGCAGAGCUCUAAACGGCAGCAUGUCUUGGAGAUCGGUCAUGAGGGCAAAGCCAGCUAAAGACCCUUGAGAUGCCAUCAUCCCUUAAAAUGAUUACCCCUCCCAGAGCUAGAAAAAAGCG
Molecule: unclassified non-coding RNA, 489 nt
Filed under: Hevea brasiliensis (rubber tree)
Lineage: Eukaryota; Viridiplantae; Streptophyta; Magnoliopsida; Malpighiales; Euphorbiaceae
Source: RNAcentral